RNAcentral lists this ribosomal RNA (253 nucleotides) under uncultured bacterium. RNAcentral describes it as "partial 16S ribosomal RNA". It matches the Rfam family "Bacterial small subunit ribosomal RNA", at positions 524 to 776 of the family's 1533-position model. The record is from RNAcentral.
UACAGAGGGUGCAAGCGUUGUUCGGAUUUACUGGGCGUAAAGCGUACGCAGACGGCAUCGUAGGUCGGGUGUGAAAGCCCUGGGCUCAACCCAGGAACUGCAUUCGAAACCACGGAGCUCGAGUGUGGGAGAGGGAAGUGGAAUUCCUGGUGUAGAGGUGAAAUUCGUAGAUAUCAGGAGGAACACCGGCGGCGAAGGCGGCAUCCUGGACCAUUAUUGACGCUGAGGAGCGAAAGCCAGGGGAGCAAACGGG